Molecule: long non-coding RNA, 619 nt
Filed under: Homo sapiens (human)
Lineage: Eukaryota; Metazoa; Chordata; Mammalia; Primates; Hominidae
Description: non-protein coding lnc-SPATA6-8:1
Source: RNAcentral
CCGUCUGGGUGAUGCUCAUGGUAAACUCGCUCACAGAGAGGGACGUGCGCUUCCGUGGUGUGCCCGUGCUCGACCUCUACCUGGCCCAGCAGGCUGAGAAGAUGAAGAAGACCACAGGGGCUGUGGAGCAGGUGGAGGAGCAGUGCCAUCCCCUCAACAACGGGCUCAACUUCUCCCAGGUGCUGUUUGCCCUGAACCAAACCCUGCUGCAGCAGGAGAGUGUGCGGGCCGGGAGCCUGCAGGCCUCCUACACCACGGAGGACCUCAUCAAGCACUACAACUGCGGAGACCUCAGCGCAGUCAUCUUCAACCACGACACAUCCCAGGUCACUUUCUGGGGAACAACACAGUCAUCGACAUCCUGCGGCAGGCAGGGCUGGAGGUGGACCACACACCCGCCGGGCAGGCCAUACACAGCCCUGCCCCCCAGAGCCCAGCGCCCUCUCCUGAGGGGACCUCGACGAGCCCGGCCCCAGUGACCCCAGCUGCCGCUGUCCCCGAAGCACCCUCUGUGACCCCCACCGCCCCACCAGAGGAUGAGGAUCCAGCCCUGUCCCCACACCUCCUGCUCCCCGACAGCCUCAGCCAGCUGGAGGAGUUUGGCCGGCAGAGGAAGUGG